AAUCAACGCUGGCGGCGUGCCUAACACAUGCAAGUCGAACGCGAAAGCCCCGCAAGGGGUUAGUGAGUGGCAAAACGGGUGAGUAACACGUGGGUGACCCUGCCCUCGAGUGGGGGAUAACGUCCCGAAAGGGACGCUAAUACCGCAUAAUAUGCCGCCUUUUUAAGAGGUGGACAUCAAAGCUGGGGAUCGCAAGACCUAGCGCUUGAAGAGGGGCCCGCGCCUGAUUAGCUAGNGGUGGGGUAAUGGCUCACCAAGGCAACGAUCAGUAUCCGGCCUGAGAGGGCGGACGGACACACUGGGACUGAGACACGGCCCAGACUCCUACGGGAGGCAGCAGUGGGGAAUUGUUCGCAAUGGGCGCAAGCCUGACGACGCAACGCCGCGUGGAGGAUGAAGACCUUCGGUCGU
Molecule: ribosomal RNA, 411 nt
Filed under: uncultured bacterium
Lineage: Bacteria
Description: bacterial SSU rRNA
Rfam family: Bacterial small subunit ribosomal RNA
Source: RNAcentral